RNAcentral lists this ribosomal RNA (609 nucleotides) under Paraburkholderia sp. RNAcentral's name for it is "bacterial SSU rRNA". It matches the Rfam family "Bacterial small subunit ribosomal RNA", at positions 146 to 750 of the family's 1533-position model. The record is from RNAcentral. Lineage: Bacteria; Pseudomonadati; Pseudomonadota; Betaproteobacteria; Burkholderiales; Burkholderiaceae.
GCCCGGCGAAAGCCGGAUUAAUACCGCAUACGCUCUACGGAGGAAAGGGGGGGAUCUUAGGACCUCCCGCUACAGGGGCGGCCGAUGGCAGAUUAGCUAGUUGGUGGGGUAAAGGCCUACCAAGGCGACGAUCUGUAGCUGGUCUGAGAGGACGACCAGCCACACUGGGACUGAGACACGGCCCAGACUCCUACGGGAGGCAGCAGUGGGGAAUUUUGGACAAUGGGCGAAAGCCUGAUCCAGCAAUGCCGCGUGUGUGAAGAAGGCCUUCGGGUUGUAAAGCACUUUUGUCCGGAAAGAAAACCUCCGCCCUAAUAUGGUGGGGGGAUGACGGUACCGGAAGAAUAAGCACCGGCUAACUACGUGCCAGCAGCCGCGGUAAUACGUAGGGUGCAAGCGUUAAUCGGAAUUACUGGGCGUAAAGCGUGCGCAGGCGGUCCGCUAAGACAGAUGUGAAAUCCCCGGGCUUAACCUGGGAACUGCAUUUGUGACUGGCGGGCUAGAGUAUGGCAGAGGGGGGUAGAAUUCCACGUGUAGCAGUGAAAUGCGUAGAGAUGUGGAGGAAUACCGAUGGCGAAGGCAGCCCCCUGGGCCAAUACUGACGCUCAG